ACCGGCCAGUUCGACCACAUCCUCGGUUCACCCUUCCGACCGUCGAACCAACAACAACAACAACAACCUUUCUUCAUGUCCUCCGAACCCAACCAAACCUACCACCACCCCGACCAAAACAAACCCUUCCAACAAGGGUUAAUGCAGUUGUCUGAUCACCUUAACAACAACAGCCACCACAAUAAUUCACCCUUCAGCCUUCCCUUUCUCUCCAACAACACAAGCAACGCUUCGUUCUCUGAACACUUCAACAAUGCCAAUGGAGGAGGAGGCAACAACAACAACAACAACAACAACGAGGGCACUAACUACUUCGCAACUUCAAGUGCACCUUCUCUCUUCAGCAACAGUGUCAAUGCCAGUGCCUUAUCUCACAUGUCCGCAACU
Molecule: long non-coding RNA, 387 nt
Filed under: Glycine max (soybean)
Lineage: Eukaryota; Viridiplantae; Streptophyta; Magnoliopsida; Fabales; Fabaceae
Description: long non-coding RNA (GMAX_LNC004587)
Source: RNAcentral